Molecule: ribosomal RNA, 406 nt
Filed under: uncultured bacterium
Lineage: Bacteria
Description: partial 16S ribosomal RNA
Rfam family: Bacterial small subunit ribosomal RNA
Source: RNAcentral
AUUGAACGCUGGCGGCAGGCCUAACACAUGCAAGUCGAGCGAGCGGCGGACGGGUGAGUAAUGUAUGGGGAUCUGCCCGAUCGAGGGGGAUAACUAGUGGAACCGGUGGCUAAUACCGCAUACUACCGGAUCGGCCCAUAUGGGAUUAGCUAGUGGGUGGGGUAAAGGUUCACCUAGGCGGCGAUCCCUAGCUGGGCUGAGAGGAUGAUCAGCCACACUGGGACUGAGACACGGCCCAGACUCCUACGGGAGGCAGCAGUGGGGAAUAUUGCACAAUGGGCGCAAGCCUGAUGCAGCCAUGCCGCGUGUAUGAAGAAGGCCUUAGGGUUGUAAAGUACUUUCAGUGGAGAGGCGUUACCCGCAGAAGAAGCAACGGCUAACUCCGUGCCAGCAGCCGCGGUAAUUC